RNAcentral lists this ribosomal RNA (743 nucleotides) under uncultured bacterium. RNAcentral describes it as "bacterial SSU rRNA". It matches the Rfam family "Bacterial small subunit ribosomal RNA", at positions 59 to 803 of the family's 1533-position model. The record is from RNAcentral.
CAGUCGAGCGAACACUUUGGAAAGAUUCUUCGGAUGAUUUCCUUUGUGACUGAGCGGCGGACGGGUGAGUAACGCGUGGGUAACCUGCCUCAUACAGGGGGAUAACAGUUAGAAAUGACUGCUAACACCGCAUAAGACCACGGUGCCGCAUGGUACAGUGGUAAAAACUCCGGUGGUAUGAGAUGGACCCGCGUCUGAUUAGGUAGUUGGUGGGGUAACGGCCUACCAAGCCGACGAUCAGUAGCCGACCUGAGAGGGUGACCGGCCACAUUGGGACUGAGACACGGCCCAGACUCCUACGGGAGGCAGCAGUGGGGAAUAUUGCACAAUGGAGGAAACUCUGAUGCAGCAACGCCGCGUGAAGGAUGAAGUAUUUCGGUAUGUAAACUUCUAUCAGCAGGGAAGAAAAUGACGGUACCUGACUAAGAAGCCCCGGCUAACUACGUGCCAGCAGCCGCGGUAAUACGUAGGGGGCAAGCGUUAUCCGGAUUUACUGGGUGUAAAGGGAGCGUAGACGGCACGGCAAGCCAGAUGUGAAAGCCCGGGGCUCAACCCCGGGACUGCAUUUGGAACUGCUGAGCUAGAGUGUCGGAGAGGCAAGUGGAAUUCCUAGUGUAGCGGUGAAAUGCGUAGAUAUUAGGAGGAACACCAGUGGCGAAGGCGGCUUGCUGGACGAUGACUGACGUUGAGGCUCGAAAGCGUGNGGAGCAAACAGNAUUAGAUACCCUGGUAGUCCACGCCGU